AUUGAACGCUGGCGGCAGGCCUAACACAUGCAAGUCGAGCGAGAGGCGGACGGGUGAGUAAUGUCUGGGAAACUGCCUGAUGGAGGGGGAUAAAUACUGGAAAAGGUAGCUAAAACCGCAUACCAUCAGAUGUGCCCAGAUGGGAUUGGCUCGUAGGGGGGGUAACGGCUUAACUCGGCGACGAUCCCUAGCUGGUCUGAGAGGGUGACCAGCCACCCUGGAACUGUGACACGGCCCAGACUCCUACGGUGGGCAGCAGUGGGGAAUAUGGCACAAUGGGCGAAAGCCUGAGGCAGCAACGCCGCGUGAGUGAAGAAGGCCUUCGGGUUGUAAAGCACUUUCAGCGGGGAGGCGUUACCCGCAGAAGAAGCACCGGCUAACUCCGUGCCAGCAGCCGCGGUAAUUC
Molecule: ribosomal RNA, 406 nt
Filed under: uncultured bacterium
Lineage: Bacteria
Description: partial 16S ribosomal RNA
Rfam family: Bacterial small subunit ribosomal RNA
Source: RNAcentral